Molecule: long non-coding RNA, 99 nt
Organism: Sapajus apella (tufted capuchin)
Lineage: Eukaryota; Metazoa; Chordata; Mammalia; Primates; Cebidae
Exons: 3
Source: RefSeq, a predicted model, not a curated record
UUUCCUAUGGAAAUCCGACCACUAGCCCAGCCCCUGAAUUUCCACAUUUCCUUUGUGCUUCUUGGUUUCAUGUGUCUCUUUGUCUUUAUCAUGUGUGUA